This 425-nucleotide ribosomal RNA is filed under the name uncultured bacterium. RNAcentral's name for it is "partial 16S ribosomal RNA". It matches the Rfam family "Bacterial small subunit ribosomal RNA", at positions 354 to 796 of the family's 1533-position model. The record is from RNAcentral.
GUGGGGAAUAUUGGGCAAUGGGCGAAAGCCUGACCCAGCAACGCCGCGUGAAGGAAGAAGGUCUUCGGAUCGUAAACUUCUAUCCUUGGUGAAGAUAAUGACGGUAGCCGAGAAGGAAGCCCCGGCUAACUACGUGCCAGCAGCCGCGGUAAUACGUAGGGGGCAAGCGUUGUCCGGAAUGAUUGGGCGUAAAGGGCGCGUAGGCGGCCUGGUAAGUCUGGAGUGAAAGUCCUGCUUUUAAGGUGGGAAUUGCUUUGGAUACUGUCGGGCUUGAGUGCAGGGGAGGUAAGUGGAAUUCCCGGUGUAGCGGUGAAAUGCGUAGAGAUCGGGAGGAACACCAGUGGCGAAGGCGGCUUUCUGGACUGUAACUGACGCUGAGGCACGAAAGCGUGGGGAGCAAACAGGAUUAGAAACCCCAGUAGUCC